AACGUAGGAGCCAAGCGUUAUCCGAAUUCACUGGGCGUAAAGCGCGUGCAGGCGGCCUGCUAAGUUGGCUGUGAAAUCUCCUGGCUCAACUGGGAGGGGCCGGUCAAUACUGGUAGGCUCGAGGGCGACAGAGGGAGGUGGAAUUCCGGGUGUAGUGGUGAAAUGCGUAGAUAUCCGGAGGAACACCAGAGGCGAAGGCGACCUCCUGGGUCGUACCUGACGCUCAGAUGCGAAAGCUAGGGGAGCGAAC
This 250-nucleotide ribosomal RNA is filed under the name uncultured bacterium. Its description in RNAcentral is "partial 16S ribosomal RNA". It matches the Rfam family "Bacterial small subunit ribosomal RNA", at positions 524 to 773 of the family's 1533-position model. The record is from RNAcentral.